RNAcentral lists this unclassified non-coding RNA (89 nucleotides) under Pseudomonas synxantha. Lineage: Bacteria; Pseudomonadati; Pseudomonadota; Gammaproteobacteria; Pseudomonadales; Pseudomonadaceae. The record is from RNAcentral.
UGUGGGAGGGGGCUUGCUCCCGAUGAGGACGUGUCAGUGAAUGCAUCAAUACCUGACCCACCGCCAUCGGGAGCAAGCCCCCUCCCACA